GAUGAACGCUGGCGGCGUGCUUAACACAUGCAAGUCGAACGAAGCAUUUAAGACAGAUUCCUUCGGUUUGAAGUCUUUUAUGACUGAGUGGCGGACGGGUGAGUAACGCGUGGGUAACCUGCCUCAUACAGGGGGAUAGCAGCUGGAAACGGCUGGUAAUACCGCAUAAGCGCACAGUACCACAUGGUACAGUGUGAAAAACUCCGGUGGUAUGAGAUGGACCCGCGUCUGAUUAGCUUGUUGGCGGGGUAACGGCCCACCAAGGCGACGAUCAGUAGCCGAGCUGAGAGGGUGACCCGCCACAUUGGGACUGAGACACGGCCCAGACUCCUACGGGAGGCAGCAGUGGGGAAUAUUGCAAAAUGGAGGAAACUCUGAUGCAGCGACGCCGCGUGAGUGAAGAAGUAGUGAGAUAUGUAAAGCUCUAUCAGCCGGGAAGAUAGUGACGGUACCUGAAGAAGAAGCUCCGGCUAAAUACGUG
This 481-nucleotide ribosomal RNA is filed under the name uncultured bacterium. Its description in RNAcentral is "partial 16S ribosomal RNA". It matches the Rfam family "Bacterial small subunit ribosomal RNA", at positions 28 to 507 of the family's 1533-position model. The record is from RNAcentral.